CAAGGCAAAUUGAUGGUUUGUCCGGAUGCAAUUCUGAGACAGCAGAUGAUAUUGAACAGCAGCAACGAGGUCAAACUCCUGUGAAAAGAGGAGGAAGCCGAUGACAAUUCAAAGCUGGUCGACGACAACGAAGAUAUUGCCGCUUGGUUUACCUCAAUCGUCAGUUGUAGGAACAAAAACAAGAACAAAUAACCUCUGCAAAACAGGAAAUACAGUUCUGGAUGAGAAAUCAAAAAAGAAGCGUGAAAAUGAGAAAUUUCUUCUCUCAGAAAAUUCGUCGAAAACCUGGUAUGCAGAAACCAAAAAACAAAGGUGAUUUUCUCACAGCUAUGAAAAAAUAGAACUCACCAAGAAACUCGGCCAAUGGGAACAAUUAAUAUCAGAUUAUCGCUUGAAUGAAGAGAAACAACGAUAUGUGAGGUAUUUAUAAGACUCGAUUAAGUAUUUGAGUUUGUGAAGGAAACUAGUGAAAGAAGAAUUCUUCAUGAACUCGGACACGUGAUAGCUUCGCUGCUGAUUAUUAUGGAUGAGAGAUGACAUGUUGAUCCAAGAAUUUAUCCAAUUUCUCAGAAUUUUAGAAUGGGAUUUGAGGCAAAGAUGAAUUUUUU
RNAcentral lists this long non-coding RNA (608 nucleotides) under Salvia miltiorrhiza (redroot sage). RNAcentral describes it as "long non-coding RNA (SMIL_LNC007128)". Lineage: Eukaryota; Viridiplantae; Streptophyta; Magnoliopsida; Lamiales; Lamiaceae. The record is from RNAcentral.